RNAcentral lists this ribosomal RNA (253 nucleotides) under uncultured bacterium. Its description in RNAcentral is "partial 16S ribosomal RNA". It matches the Rfam family "Bacterial small subunit ribosomal RNA", at positions 524 to 776 of the family's 1533-position model. The record is from RNAcentral.
UACGUAGGGUGCAAGCGUUGUCCGGAAUUAUUGGGCGUAAAGAGCUCGUAGGCGGUUUGUCGCGUCGAAUGUGAAAACCCGGGGCUCAACUCCGGGCCUGCAUUCGAUACGGGCAGACUAGAGUUCGGUAGGGGAGAACGGAAUUCCUGGUGUAGCGGUGAAAUGCGCAGAUAUCAGGAGGAACACCGGUGGCGAAGGCGGUUCUCUGGGCAUUACCUGACGCUGAGGAGCGAAAGUGUGGGGAGCGAACAGG